This 295-nucleotide unclassified non-coding RNA is filed under the name uncultured fungus. Its description in RNAcentral is "sequence contains ITS1". Lineage: Eukaryota; Fungi. The record is from RNAcentral.
AGGACUACAGGGGUUUCUAAUCCUGUUUGCUCCCCACGCUUUCGCGCCUCAGCGUCAGUUGCGGUCCAGAUGGCCGCCUUCGCCACCGGUGUUCUUCCCAAUAUCUACGAAUUUCACCUCUACACUGGGAAUUCCACCAUCCUCUCCCGCACUCAAGCCAGCCCAGUCUCAAGCGCAAUUCCCGGGUUGAGCCCAGGCCUUUCACGCCUGACUUGAGCAGCCGCCUGCGCGCCCUUUACGCCCAGUAAUUCCGAACAACGCUAGCCCCCUCCGUAUUACCGAGGCUGCUGGCACC